GACGAACGCUGGCGGCGUGCCUAAUACAUGCCAGUAGAACGCUGAAGGAGGAGCUUGCUCUUCUGGAUGAGUUGCGAACGGGUGAGUAACGCGUAGGUAACCUGCCUGGUAGCGGGGGAUAACUAUUGGAAACGAUAGCUAAUACCGCAUAACAGUAGAUGUUGCAUGACAUUUACUUAAAAGGUGCAAUUGCAUCACUACCAGAUGGACCUGCGUUGUAUUAGCUAGUUGGUGGGGUAACGGCUCACCAAGGCGACGAUACAUAGCCGACCUGAGAGGGUGAUCGGCCACACUGGGACUGAGACACGGCCCAGACUCCUACGGGAGGCAGCAGUAGGGAAUCUUCGGCAAUGGACGGAAGUCUGACCGAGCAACGCCGCGUGAGUGAAGAAGGUUUUCGGAUCGUAAAGCUCUGUUGUAAGAGAAGAAUGAGUGUGAGAGUGGAAAGUUCACACUGUGACGGUAUCUUACCAGAAAGGGACGGCUAACUACGUG
Molecule: ribosomal RNA, 495 nt
Filed under: uncultured bacterium
Lineage: Bacteria
Description: partial 16S ribosomal RNA
Rfam family: Bacterial small subunit ribosomal RNA
Source: RNAcentral